UUUCCGUAGGUGAACCUGCGGAAGGAUCAUUAAUGUAACCGGACUGUUCGGGUGCCGUACAACGCAUCUGUUCGGAAAGGGAGAUAUCAUACACCCUAUGUUUAUUUACUUUUGUUGCUUUGGCGGGCCGUCCUUUUAGGCAUCGGCCCUGGCUGAUCGUGCCCGCCAGAGGACCUAAACUCUUCUAUCAGUGAUGUCUGAGUACUAUAUAAUAGUUAAAGCUUUCAACAACGGAUCUCUUGGUUCUG
RNAcentral lists this unclassified non-coding RNA (248 nucleotides) under plant metagenome. RNAcentral describes it as "partial contains small subunit ribosomal RNA, internal transcribed spacer 1, and 5.8S ribosomal RNA". The record is from RNAcentral.